GGAUGUGAGGGCGAGCUGGCUGCGACACCUGUCACCCACUGAUCGCCAGGGCUGAUUCUGCUGAGUGGCUGGCUAGGCGGGUGUCCCCUUCCUCCCUCACAGCUCCAAGUGCAUCCCGCCUGAAGCUGCGCACUUAGUGCGAGACGGCCUCCCCAGGAGAGGAGGAUCGUCUUUGGUCGAGAGGAUGUGAGCUGUGCUCUCCUGCUAGGACCUCCAAACAAGCUCUCAAGAUUGGUGAAUUAGUACUGGGUUCCAAAGUCUAUUUAUUGUCUUUGACCAAUAUGUGUCUUAAAUGUUUUCAAAUCUAU
Molecule: small nuclear RNA, 308 nt
Filed under: Jaculus jaculus (lesser Egyptian jerboa)
Lineage: Eukaryota; Metazoa; Chordata; Mammalia; Rodentia; Dipodidae
Description: 7SK RNA (ENSJJAG00000002562.1)
Rfam family: 7SK RNA
About the family: 7SK was discovered as an abundant small nuclear RNA in the mid-70s but a possible function has only recently been suggested.
Source: Rfam by way of RNAcentral